This 361-nucleotide unclassified non-coding RNA is filed under the name uncultured bacterium. RNAcentral describes it as "contains 16S-23S intergenic spacer region". The record is from RNAcentral.
UCCGGUUUAGACCGGCGGUCUCCUUAGAUAUAGCAACUAAGGACAAGGGUUGCGCUCGUUGCGGGACUUAACCCAACACCUCACGGCACGAGCUGACGACAGCCAUGCAGCAUCUGUGCACGCUCCCUUGCGGGUCCCGCAGCUUUCGCUUUGGUACCACGUGCAUGUCAAGCCGAGGUAAGGUUCUGCGCGUUGCAUCGAAUUAAUCCACAUCAUCCACCGCUUGUGCGGGUCCCCGUCAAUUCCUUUGAGUUUUAAUCUUGCGACCGUACUCCCCAGGCGGACAACUUCACGCGUUAGCUGCGGUACUGAGAAAUCGCUUCCCCAACACCUAGUUGUCAUCGUUUAGGGCGUGGACUAC